ACUCUCAUUUAUCUCUGUUUCAUUCUCUCUCUCAGUUUUUCACAUAAGCCCCUCCCCCCUCUCUCAUAUUCAUACUCAUUCACUGUGACACUCUCUGCUUCCUCUCUCUCUAUCUCUAUCUCCCUUCAUUCCCCCUCUGUCUGUUUCUUACAUAUACUCCCUCUCUCAUAUUCAUACUAAUUCACCUAGACUAUCCCCCUCUCUCUCUCUCUAUUCUAACCCCCCCUUUCCCCUCUGUAUACCUCACACACAUAACGUUCACUGUCUUCCCGCUCACUCAUUCAUAACCCAUUCACUCACUCCCUCUCAUUUGUACACACAUACUCACACUUCUACAUCUAUACACGCUUCAACAUCUACGCAAUCCCAUAUACACACAUACAUAUGUAUAUGUGCACUCGGCACUUUUAUACCUUGGUUUUGGUUAGAUCGAAUCUUCUUACACGAUCUUCUGCUUUAAAAUAGUAGAUAAUAUUGGUGGGGGGAAUAACAGUGAGAUAUUGAUAUAUUAUAUAUAUAUACACGCAAACACACGCAUAUAUAUGUGCACUAAUAUAUCACAUAUAUAAAACUAUAUAGAUAUACAUUAAUACAUAGCUAUAUAUAUAUAUAUAUAUAUAUAUAUAUAUAUAUAUGUAUAUGUAAUAAAUAUUAUUAUGGUAUGAUUUCUCAUUUCUGUCUUUGAAUACGAAGACAAAAUAGAAAGCAGCAACAGUAGAACUGAUAUUGUAAGCAAACAGUACUUUGGUCGGUGAGAUUGGCCAUUUCCACACAUACACAUACACAUACAAAACAUAUACACCCAGUUUAUACAUAUAUAUGUAUAUAGAUAUAGAUAUAUAUAUAUAUAUCCUUGAGAUAUUUCCACAGUGUGUUCACGUACAGGCUUGCUACUUGACAGACUAACACACAAACACACAGGCUCUCGUAGAUAUCUAUAAAUUUAUAUAUAUAUAUUUCAAUAUAUAUAUAUACAUAGAGAGAGAGAGAGAGAGAGAGAGGAGAGAGAGAGAGAGAGAGAAAAGCUUUGGUAGGUGCUUCUGUACGGCUGUUGUCGCGGAGCCAGGUAAUUUAAGUAAGGCUUCUAAAGUAAAUGAGCAGCUGUGUCUGAAGAAUGGUAGGAGGAUGUGAAUAUUAUGUCAUUUGCGUAUGAAGCUGUCUGCAUGUUUUGUAGAAGUGCUAGGUGGGGAGAAAUCCCUUUGGCACGCAAUCCAGCAAUUUCGAAGGUUCUGAAACUGUUGU
Long non-coding RNA from Octopus sinensis (East Asian common octopus), 1242 nucleotides. RefSeq lists it as uncharacterized. Lineage: Eukaryota; Metazoa; Mollusca; Cephalopoda; Octopoda; Octopodidae. The record is from RefSeq and is a predicted model, not a curated record. The transcript has 3 exons.